RNAcentral lists this ribosomal RNA (490 nucleotides) under uncultured bacterium. Its description in RNAcentral is "partial 16S ribosomal RNA". It matches the Rfam family "Bacterial small subunit ribosomal RNA", at positions 30 to 507 of the family's 1533-position model. The record is from RNAcentral.
AUUGAACGCUGGCGGCAGGCCUAACACAUGCAAGUCGAACGGUAACAGGAAGAAGCUUGCUUCUUUGCUGACGAGUGGCGGACGGGUGAGUAAUGUCUGGGAAACUGCCUGAUGGAGGGGGAUAACUACUGGAAACGGUAGCUAAUACCGCAUAACGUCGCAAGACCAAAGAGGGGGACCUUCGGGCCUCUUGCCAUCGGAUGUGCCCAGAUGGGAUUAGCUAGUAGGUGGGGUAACGGCUCACCUAGGCGACGAUCCCUAGCUGGUCUGAGAGGAUGACCAGCCACACUGGAACUGAGACACGGUCCAGACUCCUACGGGAGGCAGCAGUGGGGAAUAUUGCACAAUGGGCGCAAGCCUGAUGCAGCCGUGCCGCGUGUAUGAAGAAGGCCUUCGGGUUGUAAAGUACUUUCAGCGGGGAGGAAGGGAGUAAAGUUAAUACCUUUACUCAUUGACGUUACCCGCAGAAGAAGCACCGGCUAACUCCGUG